Myxocyprinus asiaticus (Chinese sucker) is the source of this 539-nucleotide long non-coding RNA. RefSeq lists it as uncharacterized. NCBI's taxonomy places the organism in Eukaryota, Metazoa, Chordata, Actinopteri, Cypriniformes, Catostomidae. The record is from RefSeq and is a predicted model, not a curated record. The transcript has 3 exons.
UGAAUCUCGCUCUGAGCGGUUCGAGCAGGAACGGCUACACAUGCUUCAAAUUUAAAAUUCUAUUUUCAUUUAUUUAAAGUUUUAAUUCAUUCAUUUGUUGAGACACCUUUCAAUGCCGAUUACCAAAUUCCAAAAAAUAAAAUUCCAAUAACCACAAUAUACAUCAUCUCUCGUGUGUUUUUUGCUUAGAUAUUACAACCGUUGGGCAGAUAAAAUGUCCUGGAAAAUUGUGCCUUGAAAAGAGUGGGAACCCUGUAAAACUAUGACAAAAAUGAACACCGCACAAACACACAAAACAAGAAUAAUAUGUGUGUAUGUUCAGGGUGAAGCAGCAGCGUCUCGAGGAGCAGCAGUGUGAUGUUGAGUUUGAACUCAGACGUCUUCUCAAUAAACCAGAGCGUGAGUGGAGCUCAGACGACAGACGACGAGAACAACAGCUCAUGUCAAACCUGCUGUCAAUCAUCCAACAGAGAAAUGACAUCAUCAGCAGCCUUGAGCAGGACAGACAGAGGGAAGAAGAGGAGGACACGAUACUGACA